This 59-nucleotide small RNA is filed under the name Caenorhabditis elegans. Its description in RNAcentral is "Unclassified non-coding RNA C55H1.4". Lineage: Eukaryota; Metazoa; Nematoda; Chromadorea; Rhabditida; Rhabditidae. The record is from RNAcentral.
AACACGCAAUUUAGGGUCUUUCAGAAAUUUUGGUGGCACCCGCUGAGAACGGAAACUUG